Molecule: ribosomal RNA, 399 nt
Filed under: uncultured bacterium
Lineage: Bacteria
Description: bacterial SSU rRNA
Rfam family: Bacterial small subunit ribosomal RNA
Source: RNAcentral
GGGAUAUUGCACAAUGGGGGAAACCCUGAUGCAGCGACGCCGCGUGAAGGAAGACGUGCUCCGGCAUGUAAACUUCUAUCAGCAGGGAAGAAGAUGACGGUACCUGACUAAGAAGCCCCGGCUAACUACGUGCCAGCAGCCGCGGUAAUACGUAGGGGGCAAGCGUUAUCCGGAUUUACUGGGUGUAAAGGGAGCGUAGACGGCAAUGCAAGUCUGAUGUGAAAACCCGGGGCUCAACCGCGGGAUUGCAUUGGAAACUGUAUAGCUCGAGUACUGGAGGGGCAGGCGGAAUUCCUGGUGUAGCGGUGAAAUGCGUAGAUAUCAGGAGGAACACCGGUGGCGAAGGCGGCCUGCUGGACAGAGACUGACGUUGAGGCUCGAAAGCGUGGGGAGCAAACA